AAUCCUACCCUUGCUUUGAUGGAAAUGGAUGGUGCACAUUUAAGUAUAAACAGCAGAAAUGAAGACAGGGAAAGAUGAAGGGCAACAGCAAAGUCAACUGGGAGUCUAAACAUGGGAAAAACUGUCUUCAUGAAGAUGUGAAAUAUAUAAUUAGAAAUGAAUGAAAACUUCUCAUUCAAGCUAUAUAGAUAGAUAGAUAGAUAGAUAGAUAGAUAUCUGUUAUAUUAGAUGAAGACACCAAAAACAUGCAUUGGAGAAAAGAUAGCCUCUUCAACAAAUGGUGCUGGCAAAACUGGAAAUCCAUAUGAAACAAAAUGAAAUUAAACCCCUAUCUCUCACCAUGCACAAAACUCAACUCAAAGUGGAUCAAGGACCUAGGAAUUAAACCAGAGACACUGUGCCUAUUAGAAGAAAAAGUAGGCCCUAAUCUUCAUCAUGUGGGAUUAGGCCCCAACUUCCUUAAUAAGACUCCUAUAAUACAAGAAUUAAAAUCAAGAAUCAAUAAAUGAUAUGGAUUCAAACCAAAAAGCUUCUUCUCAGCAAAAGAAACAAUCAGUGAGGUGAAUAGAGAGCCUUUGGAGAAAAUUUUAACCACUCCCACAUCAGAUAAAGAAAUAAUCUCUAGGGUAUAUAAAGAACUCAAAAAGCUAAACACCAAAAAACCAAAUCGCUCAAUCAAUAAAUGAGCCAAGGAACUGAACAGACACCUUUUAGAAGAUGAUAUAUAAUCAAUCAACAAAUAUAUGAAAAAAUGUUCAACAUAUCUUAGCAAUUAGAGAAAUGCAAAUCAAAACUACUCUAAGAUUUCAUCUCACUCCUGUCAGAAUGGCAGCUAUUAAGAAUACAAACAACAAUAAGUGUUGGCGAGGAUGUGGGGAAAAAGGUACACUCAUACAUUGCUGGUGGGACUGCAAAUUGGUGCAGCCAAUAUGGAAAGCAGUAUGGAGAAUCCUUGGAAAACUGGGAAUGGAACCACCAUUUGACCCAGCUAUCCCACUCCUCAGUCUAUACCAAAAUGACUUAAAAACAGCAUACUACAGGGACACAGCCACAUGAAUGUUUAUAGCAGCACAAUUCACAAUAGCUAAACUGUGGAACCAACCUAGAUGCCCUUUAGUAGAUUAGUGGAUAAAGAAAAAUGUGGUACAUAUAUACAAUGGAAUAUUACUCAGCAAUAAAAGAGAAUAAAAUCAUGGCAUUAGCAGGAAAAAUGGAUGGAGUUGGAGAAUAUAUAGCUAAGUGAAGAUACCCAAUUCAAAAAAAAAAAUGCCAAAUUUUUUCUCUAAUAUAAGGAGGCUGAUUCAUAGUGGGUUGGGAGGGGGAACAUGGG
RNAcentral lists this long non-coding RNA (1330 nucleotides) under Marmota monax (woodchuck). Lineage: Eukaryota; Metazoa; Chordata; Mammalia; Rodentia; Sciuridae. The record is from RNAcentral.